AAAUUAAGUCCAACUAUUAGAAUCUAUUGAUAGUUUAUCCAAAAAGAAGUCUAUAUUGCAAUUAUUUUAUAAGUAUCCCAUUGAAUUAUUAUUUUUCCAAACAUUAACUACUCUGAUUUUUAAUGGGGGAUUUGGUCAAAAUCCCCUUAUAAUAAAACUUUAAUGCAUUAAAGAGAAGCUCAAAAAGUUUUCCGUGAAAGGUCCAGCACAUACCACUAUUUACUAAAAUGUUAAACUUUAAAAUAAUAUAACUUUUGAUUUAAAUGUCGAUUUUUAAUAAAAUUAGUAUUUUUAUAUUCCUCUCAUCAAAAUCUAUCAAAUAAGAUCCAUGUUAACUAUGAAAUUCUUUAAAAAAUAUAUUAUUACCGUUAAAAUUGAUGUAAGCAGUAACAUAUAACAUGUUACUCUGGUUCACAGUAACAUGUUAUUUUGAUUCGCGGUAACAUGUUACUUUGACAAUAUUGUUCAAAAAAAAAUGAUAUUUUUAUUUUAUCCUUACUUAAUUAUGUGCAUUCUUCUUAGAAGAUUUAUAAAAUAAAAUAAAUUGGACUAUCUUUUUUUACCAAAUAAGGAUCCAAUAGAAUUGGAAUAAAUUACACAUUUUUGGGAAAUGCCCACGUUGCCAGAAUUUUUCUCCAUGUUGUCUAAUGUUAGUUUACAACCUCACCCAAAUGGAAAGCCCAAAUGACAGUCGUAGGGCCCCCAAAAAUAAUUCGACUAGUUACCAAACAAUAGAAAAAAAGAUUAAUGUUUAAUUACUAAUUGGGUAAAUCAAUUUUGCAGUUAACUAAAUUAUUCAUUGAAAAUGAUAUGAAAGACAAAAUUGAUUAUAUAAGCUUAAUUAGUAAUUUUGUAAUUAAAAAUAUAAGAAAGGUAAUAUUUAAGUGAUAUUUUGUUGCUUUUAAAUUAAUCUAUACUGAUUUAUGGCUUUAUUUUUUAUUUGGUAUUUUUCCCCCUCGUUUUAUAUUGAGUCUUGCUAAGCCAUGAAAUAACAAAAUCAAAUUAUUUUAUUUUUAUCUUGUUUAAUCUUGUAAUGAUUUGUUAAAAUCUUAAUCUAUGUAAGCAAAUUUUGGGUUCUUAGUGAGGCAAUUUCAAACACUCAUUUUGAAUUGUAAAUACGAAGGAAAUCAAACUUAAAACACCAACAUAUUUAAAGUUGUCUAACAAAAAAUUACAAUUAUUAAUCCACAUGGAAAAUAAAUAAAUAAAUAAAUAAAUUGAAUUUUAGAAUAAUCAAUGAUUAUUUUAUAGAUUAUCCUGAAAAAUUCAAAACUUUUCUUAUGUGAUCCCCUCCCCUUUAAUGUUUUUUUAUUUUAAAGGAUCCUAUUUAUAAAGAAACCAAAGAGGUAGUACCGGUAUGUCUCUCAAGAACCAUCAUGACUAGGGCUAAUCAACGGAUGCACCGGCCCGCUUGACCCACCCGACCCGACCCGACACCAUAUGGAUGGAUGUGUGACACGUGAUGGGUGGGUGCGGGCCCAUUUUUUGGCUUUUCUCAGGUUUUGGUCGAGUUGCGAUUGACCUGCCUCUUUACCCAAUAAACCUGACCUGCCCGCUUUUGUUCUUUUUUAUAUAUAUAUUUUUUAUUUUCCCCCAUUUUUCUGAUCUCACCACACUAACCUAACCUAAUUUAUUCAUCUUCUUCGAUACACACACACACACACUCUCUCUCUGUCCCCCCAGAACCCUACUUGUACUGACGACGACGACGACGAUCGAGCAACGAUCUACAUUGAAAAAGCCAUCGGCGAUCGACGAUCUGCGUUUUUUUUUUUUGAAUUUGUAUGCCCUCAGCCAGCCUUUUUUUGAGAAUCUCAUAUUAAAAUCCUAACCCAUUGGCAUUCUUCAACCUGAAAGAGGAUCGACGAUCGUGGUGUGGUGUUUGUUGUAGUUCUAAAGUGAAACCAGUGGAAGAGAGGUUCUACAAUGUGAAGAAGCUUACAAAGAGGAAAAAAAAGUUUGUUUCGGAAUCAAUUUCAUGUUCAAGUCCAAGUCCGGAGAGUAGUUAUAUUAAAGGUUAAUAUCAUUGGUUUGGCUCAUGGCUCAUGGUUCAUGGUUUGGCUCAAAGAAAUCAAUGGCUUUAUUGUUUCUUUUUUAGUUGUUUUGAAAAUAUGGCUAUUAGUUGGUACUUUCUUUAGAUGGCAGUAAUACUUUAUUUUGGAUGAUUGUAUUAAAACGUUUUAAAUUUUUUGGAUGAUUGUAAUACUUUAUUUUGGACGAUUGCAUGUUGAAAAUUUGUGUUGCGUUGUUGCACCCAC
Molecule: non-coding RNA, 2258 nt
Organism: Camellia sinensis
Lineage: Eukaryota; Viridiplantae; Streptophyta; Magnoliopsida; Ericales; Theaceae
Source: RefSeq, a predicted model, not a curated record